CGAACGGCUGAGUAACACGUGGGCAACCUGCCCUCCUCUUGGGGAUAGCCUCGGGAAACCGAGGAUAAUACCCGAUACUUCAAUGUGGCCGCAUGACGACAUUGAGAAAGCUUUUGCGGAGAAGGAUGGGCCCGCGGCCUGUUAGCUUGUUGGUGGGGUAGAGGCCUACCAAGGCAAUGAUGGGUAGCUGGGUUGAGAGACCGACCAGCCAGAUUGGGACUGAGACACGGCCCAGACUCCUACGGGAGGCAGCAGGC
This 257-nucleotide ribosomal RNA is filed under the name uncultured Atopobium sp. RNAcentral describes it as "partial 16S ribosomal RNA". It matches the Rfam family "Bacterial small subunit ribosomal RNA", at positions 99 to 354 of the family's 1533-position model. Lineage: Bacteria; Bacillati; Actinomycetota; Coriobacteriia; Coriobacteriales; Atopobiaceae. The record is from RNAcentral.